Cebus imitator (Panamanian white-faced capuchin) is the source of this 1368-nucleotide long non-coding RNA. RefSeq lists it as uncharacterized. The record is from RefSeq and is a predicted model, not a curated record. Lineage: Eukaryota; Metazoa; Chordata; Mammalia; Primates; Cebidae. The transcript has 2 exons.
UUAUCUGCCACAGACCUGCUCUAUGGGAGGCCACAAGAUUAUACAUCAGUUGUUGUACGUGCCGGACUGCCCUCUAUCCCUCUUGGGAAGAAACUUGUUAAGCAUACUAAAAGCUGCUAUCAGGUUCACUAAUAAGGGCUCCCUGCAGCUCAAACUGCCUAAGGCAUGGAUUAUCACGGCUCUCACAGUCCCUUGGGAGGAGGAAUAGAGACUCUUCCUGACUGAGCCGGGUCGAGAAUUAACCGCUGUGCUGGCCAAGGGAUGGCCAUGAGUCUGGGCAGAAGACAACCCUCCAGGGUUGGCAGUAAGCCAAGCCCCGGUGGUUAUCAAAGUAAAGCCAGGGGUAUUCCUAGUCAGACAAAAGCAGUACCAGGUUCCAAGGGAAGCUCUUAAGGACAUCCAGGUCCAUCUCAAACACCUGAAAGCCUAUGGUAUUAUAGUACCUUGCCAGUCUCUUUGGAACAUGCCUCUCCUGUACAUCCGCAAGCCGGGGACCAAGGACUACUGACCAGUGCAGGACCUGUGCUUGGUCAACCAAGCAACUAUGACCUUGCACCUCACUGUGCCCGUUCCCUAUACGUUGCUAGGGAAGGUUGAGGGUGUUCCUGCGUGUGUCCAUCACAGCUGUGUGAAACCUGCAGCACCAGACACCUGGGAAAUAAAGCCAGAUCUCCGUAACCCAUGCAAGAUCACCUUAAGGAGAGCUGAGACAGCAAGCCCUGCUCCAGUCACACCCCGGAAGCUGACUGGUCUACGCUCGGCCGAAGCAUGAAGACUUCCAGUGUGGGACCAACAUUCCUUUCUUCAAACUAUGGACUUGUGCCCGUAUACAUCAGAUCACCAAGUUCUUUCUAGCUUCUUGGCAAGGACAGAGGCCCCUGCUGAGAGGGCUUUAGGAAUGGCCAAAGUCUGACAUGGUGCAACCUCAGCCACGCCAAGAAAGAACUUGGAUACGUCUGUCUCGCUGUUUUUCCAGUUUUUGUUUGCACCUCACAGGAAGAACUGGUCCGCCUUCAUUCCCAGGCCUACCAAACUGACAGGUUCUUCAGUGUGGGUGGGGCCCCUGCUUACGGCCUUAACCAGCAACUGCACUAGAGAACUCUCUGUCUAGACUACAGCCACGUUUCCCAAAGUCAUCAGAUUAAAGGCAUCACCUGGAAGUUCUCAUUGGGUCGUCUGGGGAUUUCUGAAGGGCCACAGAUGAUUUAUAAAAUAGCUCAGUAAAAACCAACCUCAGCUGGGCGCCGUGGCGCAGGCCUGUGAGCCCAGCACUUUGGGAGGCCAAGGUGGCUGGGUCACUUAAGACCAGGAGUUCGAGACCAGCCUGACCAACAUGGUGAAACCCCGUCUCUACUAAAAAUACAAAAA